UCAAGCGAAUAAGGGCUGACGGUGGAUACCUAGGCACGCAGCGGCGAUGAAGGACGUGGUUACCGACGAUAUGCUCCGGGGAGUUGGAAGCAAACAUUGAGCCGGAGAUUUUCCGAAUGGGGCAACCCUAUAUACUACUUGUUGAACACAUAGACAAGUGAGAGCCAACCCAGCGAAUUGAAACAUCUUAGUAGCUGGAGGAAAAGAAAUCAAACGAGAUUCCCUAAGUAGUGGUGAGCGAAAGGGGAAGAGCCUAAACCAAAUUGCUUGCAAUUUGGGGUAGUGGGACAGCGAUAUGGAAUCGAGCGAUUAGACGAAGCAUUUAAUCGAUGCACCAAAGAAAGUAAAAGUCUUGUAGUCGAAAAUUGUCGAGAUACUAGCUGAAUCCCGAGUAGCAUGGAGCACGUGAAAAUUCCAUGUGAAUCAGCCACGACCACGUGGUAAGGCUAAAUACGUCUGCGUGAGCGAUAGCGAACAAGUACCGCGAGGGAAAGGUGAAAAGAACCCCGUUGAGGGGAGUGAAAUAGAACAUGAAACCGUCAGCUUACAAGCAGUGGGAGUUCGAUUAAACGAAUGACCGCGUGCCUGUUGAAGAAUGAGCCGGCGAGUUAUAUGUGCUGGUAGGUUAAGUAGGAAUUACGAAGCCAAAGCGAAAGCGAGUCUGAAUAGGGCGUUUUAUCAGUAUGUAUAGACCCGAACCCUGGCGAUCUAACCAUGUCCAGGAUGAAGCUUGGGUAACACCAAGUGAAGGUCCGAACCGACUAAUGUUGAAAAAUUAGCGGAUGAGGUGUGGUUAGGGGUGAAAUGCCAAUCGAGCCAGGAGCUAGCUGGUUCUCCCCGAAAUGUGUUUAGGCGCAGCGGUGAAUAUUAAGCUUUGGGGUAAAGCACUGUUUCGGUGCGGGCUGGGAGACCGGUACCAAAUCGAGACAAACUCAGAAUACCAGAGUGAAUUAUCACUAGUAAGACAGUGAGGGAUAAGCUUCAUUGUCAAGAGGGAAACAGCCCAGACCACCAGCUAAGGUCCCCAAAUCAAUGUUAAGUGGGAAAGGAGGUGCAAGUGCAAAGACAACCAGGAGGUUUGCCUAGAAGCAGCCACCCUAGAAUGAGUGCGUAAUAGCUCACUGGUCAAGCGCUUGCGCGCCGAAAAUGAACGGGACUAAACAUUGUACCGAAGCUGUGGGAUUGAAAAAUCGGUAGGGGAGCGUUCUAUUUGAUGGGAAGCAGUAGCGGCGAGCAGCUGUGGAUUGGAUAGAAGUGAGAAUGUCGGCUUGAGUAGCGCAAAUAUUGGUGAGAAUCCAAUACCCCGAAACCCCAAGGGUUCCAGAGGCAGGUUCGUCCACUCUGGGUAAGUCGGGACCUAAGGCGAGGACGAAAGUCGUAGUCGAUGGACAUGAGGUUAAUAUUCCUCAACUAGAAUUGUGGAGCAUUAUGUGGGACGCAUUGAGAAGCAACUAUGCCCUGAUUGGAUUGGGAGGGGAAUACGUUCUCCGUUUAGUUGUAAUUGGUGUCAAGAAAAGCAUGUAAUGUGUUGAAGCAGUUUUACCCGUACUCGAAACCGACACAGGUGGGGAGGUAGAGAAUACCAAGGGGCGCGAGAUAACUCUCUCUAAGGAACUCGGCAAAAUAGCCCCGUAACUUCGGAAGAAGGGGUGCCCAGUGAUGAACUGGGUCGCAGUGAAUAGGUCCAGGCGACUGUUUACCAAAAACACAGGUCUCUGCAAACGAGUAAUCGGAAGUAUAGGGGCUGACGCCUGCCCAGUGCCGGAAGGUUAAGGAAGUUGGUCAGGCUUUUGGGUUAAAGCUGACGACCGAAGCCCCGGUGAACGGCGGCCGUAACUAUAACGGUCCUAAGGUAGCGAAAUUCCUUGUCGGGUAAGUUCCGACCCGCACGAAAGGCGUAACGAUCUGGACGGUGUCUCGGAGAGAGACUCGGCGAAAUAGGAUUGUCUGUGAAGAUACGGACUGCCUGCACCUGGACAGAAAGACCCUAUGAAGCUUUACUGUAGCCUGGAAUUGUGUUCGGGCUUGGCUUGCGCAGGAUAGGUGGGAAGCGUAGAAGUAGUCCUUGUGGGGAUUAUGGAGCUAACGGUGAGAUACCACUCUGGCGAAGCUAGAAUUCUAACCAAUGUCCGUCAUCCGGAAUUGGAACAUUUUCAGGUGGGCAGUUUGACUGGGGCGGUCGCCUCCUAAAAGGUAACGGAGGCGCGCAAUGGUUCUCUCAGCACGGUUGGAAAUCGUGCGUCGAGUGUAAAGGCAAUAAGAGAGCUUGACUGUGACACCAACAAGUGAAACAGGUACGAAAGUAGGCCUUAGUGAUCCGACGGCGCAGAGUGGAAUGGCCGUCGCUCAACGGAUAAAAGUUACUCUAGGGAUAACAGGCUGAUCUCCCCCAAGAGUCCACAUCGACGGGGAGGUUUGGCACCUCGAUGUCGGCUCAUCGCAACCUGGGGCGGAAGUACGUCCCAAGGGUUGGGCUGUUCGCCCAUUAAAGCGGUACGUGAGCUGGGUUCAGAACGUCGUGAGACAGUUCGGUCCAUAUCCGGUGCAGGCGUAAGAACAUUGAGAGGAGCCUUCCUUAGUACGAGAGGACCGGGAAGGACGAACCGCUGGUGUGCCAGUUAUUUCGCCAGAAGUAAACGCUGGGUAGCCAUGUUCGGAGCGGAUAACCGCUGAAAGCAUCUAAGUGGGAAGCCCACCUCAAGAUGAGUGUUCUCACUACUUUAAGUAGGUAAGGUCACACGUAGAACACGUGUUAAUAGGCUUUAGGUGGAAGCGUGGUAACAUGCGAAGCCGAGAAGUACUAACAGACCGAGGGCUUGACCAA
This 2824-nucleotide ribosomal RNA is filed under the name Calothrix sp. PCC 7103. Its description in RNAcentral is "bacterial LSU rRNA". It matches the Rfam family "Bacterial large subunit ribosomal RNA". Lineage: Bacteria; Bacillati; Cyanobacteriota; Cyanophyceae; Nostocales; Calotrichaceae. The record is from RNAcentral.